AAAAUUAAUGAAUUUAGUUUUAGAAUUUAAAAUAAUAAAUUAAUAACACAAUUAAUAAUACAACCUGAAACAAUAUCGACAAAUAAAAUCCACAGAACUACAUAAGUCUGCUCCAAAUGCUAAUUAAUCUUUAAAAGGCCGAAAAAGAGAACUAGUUGCUAGAUCAAACAACCACAGCAAUAGGCAUACCACUGCAGGCCACCAUGUUUCCCCAAGGAGUUUGAGCCAUAUUAAAUCUCCCAGUGACACUUCCCCUUGCCACGGAUUCCUCUCCUUCAUUGUUAUCAUGAAUU
This 293-nucleotide long non-coding RNA is filed under the name Gossypium barbadense (sea-island cotton). RNAcentral describes it as "long non-coding RNA (GBAR_LNC018653)". The record is from RNAcentral. Lineage: Eukaryota; Viridiplantae; Streptophyta; Magnoliopsida; Malvales; Malvaceae.